Molecule: ribosomal RNA, 459 nt
Filed under: uncultured bacterium
Lineage: Bacteria
Description: partial 16S ribosomal RNA
Rfam family: Bacterial small subunit ribosomal RNA
Source: RNAcentral
CCUACGGGAGGCAGCAGUGAGGAAUAUUGGUCAAUGGCCGGAAGUCUGAACCAGCCAAGCCGCGUGAAGGACGAAGGUGCCAAGCAUUGUAAACUUCUUUUGUCAAGGGACAAAAUCAGGCUCGAGAGCCUGACCGAGGGUACUUGAAGAAAAAGCAUCGGCUAACUCCGUGCCAGCAGCCGCGGUAAUACGGAGGAUGCGAGCGUUAUCCGGAUUUAUUGGGUUUAAAGGGUGCGUAGGCGGACUGUUAAGUCAGCGGUAAAAGCCCGGGGCUCAACCCCGGCGAGCCGUUGAAACUGGCUGUCUUGAGAGGGCGAGAGGUAUGCGGAAUGCGCAGUGUAGCGGUGAAAUGCUUAGAUAUUGCGCAGAACUCCGAUUGCGAAGGCAGCAUACCGGAGGCGAUCUGACGCUGAGGCACGAAAGCGUGGGUAUCGAACAGGAUUAGAUACCCGUGUAGUC